Molecule: ribosomal RNA, 513 nt
Filed under: uncultured Glomus
Lineage: Eukaryota; Fungi; Glomeromycota; Glomeromycetes; Glomerales; Glomeraceae
Description: SSU rRNA
Rfam family: Eukaryotic small subunit ribosomal RNA
Source: RNAcentral
UUGGAGGGCAAGUCUGGUGCCAGCAGCCGCGGUAAUUCCAGCUCCAAUAGCGUAUAUUAAAGUUGUUGCAGUUAAAAAGCUCGUAGUUGAAUUUCGGGAUCAAUUUAUUGGUCGUGCAAUAGUACGUACUGAUUUUAUUGAGUCCUCUCUUCUGAAGAACUAUGAUGUCAUUAAUUUGGUGUCAUAGGGAAGCAGGACUGUUACUUUGAAAAAAUUAGAGUGUUUAAAGCAGGCUCACGCUUGAAUACAUUAGCAUGGAAUAACGAAAUAGGACGUUUGAUUCUAUUUUGUUGGUUUCUAGGAUCGACGUAAUGAUUAAUAGGGAUAGUUGGGGGCAUUAGUAUUCAAUUGUCAGAGGUGAAAUUCUUGGAUUUAUUGAAGACUAACUACUGCGAAAGCAUUUGCCAAGGAUGUUUUCAUUAAUCAAGAACGAAAGUUAGGGGAUCGAAGACGAUCAGAUACCGUCGUAGUCUUAACCAUAAACUAUGCCGAACUAGGGAUCCGGGAAUUUAU